RNAcentral lists this ribosomal RNA (606 nucleotides) under Debaryomyces hansenii. RNAcentral describes it as "LSU rRNA". It matches the Rfam family "Eukaryotic large subunit ribosomal RNA", at positions 65 to 664 of the family's 3401-position model. Lineage: Eukaryota; Fungi; Ascomycota; Pichiomycetes; Serinales; Debaryomycetaceae. The record is from RNAcentral.
UCAUGCGGGGAAUUGCCGUUACAACGGCGAGUGAAGCGGCAAAAGCUCAAAUUUGAAAUCUGGCACCUUCGGUGUCCGAGUUGUAAUUUGAAGAAGGUAACUUUGGAGUUGGCUCUUGUCUAUGUUCCUUGGAACAGGACGUCACAGAGGGUGAGAAUCCCGUGCGAUGAGAUGCCCAAUUCUAUGUAAAGUGCUUUCGAAGAGUCGAGUUGUUUGGGAAUGCAGCUCUAAGUGGGUGGUAAAUUCCAUCUAAAGCUAAAUAUUGGCGAGAGACCGAUAGCGAACAAGUACAGUGAUGGAAAGAUGAAAAGAACUUUGAAAAGAGAGUGAAAAAGUACGUGAAAUUGUUGAAAGGGAAGGGCUUGAGAUCAGACUUGGUAUUUUGCGAUCCUUUCCUUCUUGGUUGGGUUCCUCGCAGCUUACUGGGCCAGCAUCGGUUUGGAUGGUAGGAUAAUGACUAAGGAAUGUGGCUCUACUUCGGUGGAGUGUUAUAGCCUUGGUUGAUACUGCCUGUCUAGACCGAGGACUGCGUCUUUUGACUAGGAUGUUGGCAUAAUGAUCUUAAGCCACCCGUCUGAAAAACCGGGGCCCAAAACAUGAUGUAUU